This 71-nucleotide transfer RNA is filed under the name Rikenellaceae bacterium. RNAcentral's name for it is "tRNA-Gln". It matches the Rfam family "tRNA". From Rfam's summary of the family: Transfer RNA (tRNA) molecules are approximately 80 nucleotides in length. Their secondary structure includes four short double-helical elements and three loops (D, anti-codon, and T loops). The record is from RNAcentral. Lineage: Bacteria; Pseudomonadati; Bacteroidota; Bacteroidia; Bacteroidales; Rikenellaceae.
UGACCCAUGGUGUAAUGGUAACACAGCAGAUUUUGGUUCUGUCGUUUCAAGUUCGAGUCUUGAUGGGUCAA